UCCCGAGCGUUGUUCGGAUUCACUGGGCGUAAAGGGUGCGUAGGUGGCGAGGUAAGUCGGAUGUGAAAGCUCGGAGCUCAACUCCGAAAUGGCAUUGGAAACUACCUUGCUCGAGGGUUGGAGGGGGGACUGGAAUUCUCGGUGUAGCAGUGAAAUGCGUAGAUAUCGAGAGGAACACCAGUGGCGAAGGCGAGUCCCUGGACAACUCCUGACACUGAGGCACGAAAGCUAGGGGAGCAAACAGG
This 245-nucleotide ribosomal RNA is filed under the name uncultured bacterium. RNAcentral's name for it is "partial 16S ribosomal RNA". It matches the Rfam family "Bacterial small subunit ribosomal RNA", at positions 532 to 776 of the family's 1533-position model. The record is from RNAcentral.